Molecule: transfer RNA, 76 nt
Filed under: bacterium
Lineage: Bacteria
Also listed under: 2 other names
Description: tRNA-Phe
Rfam family: tRNA
About the family: Transfer RNA (tRNA) molecules are approximately 80 nucleotides in length. Their secondary structure includes four short double-helical elements and three loops (D, anti-codon, and T loops).
Source: RNAcentral
GCCGGGGUAGCUCAGGUGGUAGAGCAGGGGACUGAAAAUCCCCGUGUCGGCGGUUCAACUCCGUCCCCCGGCACCA